This 887-nucleotide ribosomal RNA is filed under the name uncultured archaeon. RNAcentral describes it as "bacterial SSU rRNA". It matches the Rfam family "Archaeal small subunit ribosomal RNA", at positions 1 to 879 of the family's 1478-position model. The record is from RNAcentral.
UUCUGGUUGAUCCCGCCAGAGGCCACUGCUAUUGGGGUUCGGCUAAGCCAUGCAAGCGGAGGGCGCGGUCGCAAGAUCGUGGCCCCGCACACGGCUCAGUAACACGUAGUCAAUCUACCCUCGAGUUUGGGACAACCUCGGGAAACUGAGGACAAUCCUGGAUAGGUGAUGGACGCUGGAAUGCCUCAUCACCCAAAGCUCCGGCGCUCGAGGAUGGGACUGCGGCCUAUCAGGCUGUUGGUGGUGUAACGGACCACCAAACCUACGACGGGUAUGGGCAAUGAGAGUUGGAGCCCAGAGAUGGGGACUGAGACAAGGCCCCAGGCCCUACGGGGCGCAGCAGGCGCGAAAACUUCGCAAUGCGCGAAAGCGUGACGAGGGAACCCCAAGUGCCGUUGGUCUUUUGAUCGACGGCUUUUCGGGAGUCUAAGAAGCUCCUGGAAUAAGGGCUGGGCAAGUCUGGUGCCAGCCGCCGCGGUAAUACCAGCAGCCCAAGUGGUGGUCGCGUUUAUUGGGCCUAAAGCGCUCGUAGCCGGGCUUGCAAGUCCCUUGUGAAAUCGGACGGCUCAACCGUUCGGCUUGCAAGGGAUACUGCUAGCCUUGGGAUCGGGAGAGGUCGGGGGUACUCCGGGGGUAGCGGUGAAAUGCUGUAAUCCCUGGGGGACCACCAGUGGCGAAGGCGCCUGACCAUAACGGAUCCGACGGUGAGGGGCGAAGGCUAGGGGAGCGAACGGGAUUAGAUACCCCGGUAGUCCUAGCAGUAAAGGAUGCGGGCUGGGUGUCAGGCGCCCUUCGAGAGCGCCUAGUGCCGUAGGGAAGCCGUUAAGCCCGCCGCCUGGGAAGUACGGUCGCAAGGCUGAAACUUAAAGGAAUUGGCGGGGGAGCAC